UACGAAGGGGGCUAGCGUUGCUCGGAAUCACUGGGCGUAAAGCGCACGUAGGCGGGUUGUUAAGUCGGGGGUGAAAUCCUGGAGCUCAACUCCAGAACUGCCUUCGAUACUGGCGACCUUGAGUCCGGGAGAGGUGAGUGGAACUCCGAGUGUAGAGGUGAAAUUCGUAGAUAUUCGGAAGAAACACCAGUGGCGAAGGCGGCUCACUGGCCCGGUACUGACGCUGAGGUGCGAAAGCGUGGGGAGCAAACAGG
Molecule: ribosomal RNA, 254 nt
Filed under: uncultured bacterium
Lineage: Bacteria
Description: partial 16S ribosomal RNA
Rfam family: Bacterial small subunit ribosomal RNA
Source: RNAcentral